This 931-nucleotide ribosomal RNA is filed under the name Vibrio cholerae. Its description in RNAcentral is "partial 23S ribosomal RNA". It matches the Rfam family "Bacterial large subunit ribosomal RNA", at positions 1 to 980 of the family's 2925-position model. Lineage: Bacteria; Pseudomonadati; Pseudomonadota; Gammaproteobacteria; Vibrionales; Vibrionaceae. The record is from RNAcentral.
UGUAUGGUUAAGUGACUAAGCGUACACGGUGGAUGCCUGGGCAGUCAGAGGCGAUGAAGGACGUACUAACUUGCGAUAAGCGCAGAUAAGGCAGUAAGAGCCGUUUGAGUCUGCGAUUUCCGAAUGGGGAAACCCAACUGCAUAAGCAGUUACUGUUAACUGAAUACAUAGGUUAACAGAGCAAACCGGGGGAACUGAAACAUCUAAGUACCCCGAGGAGAAGAAAUCAACCGAGAUUCCGGUAGUAGCGGCGAGCGAACCUGGAUUAGCCCUUAAGCACUCGGUGAAGUAGGUGAACAAGCUGGAAAGCUUGGCGAUACAGGGUGAUAGCCCCGUAACCGACGCUUCAUCGAGCGUGAAAUCGAGUAGGGCGGGACACGUGAUAUCCUGUCUGAAUAUGGGGGGACCAUCCUCCAAGGCUAAAUACUCCUGACUGACCGAUAGUGAACCAGUACCGUGAGGGAAAGGCGAAAAGAACCCCUGUGAGGGGAGUGAAAUAGAACCUGAAACCGUGUACGUACAAGCAGUAGGAGCACCUUCGUGGUGUGACUGCGUACCUUUUGUAUAAUGGGUCAGCGACUUAUAUUCAGUGGCAAGGUUAACCGUAUAGGGGAGCCGUAGCGAAAGCGAGUCUUAACUGGGCGCUCAGUCUCUGGAUAUAGACCCGAAACCGGGUGAUCUAGCCAUGGGCAGGUUGAAGGUUGAGUAACAUCAACUGGAGGACCGAACCGACUAAUGUUGAAAAAUUAGCGGAUGACUUGUGGCUAGGGGUGAAAGGCCAAUCAAACUCGGAGAUAGCUGGUUCUCCCCGAAAGCUAUUUAGGUAGCGCCUCGGACGAAUACUACUGGGGGUAGAGCACUGUUAAGGCUAGGGGGUCAUCCCGACUUACCAACCCUUUGCAAACUCCGAAUACCAGUAAGUACUAUCCGG